This 253-nucleotide ribosomal RNA is filed under the name uncultured bacterium. Its description in RNAcentral is "partial 16S ribosomal RNA". It matches the Rfam family "Bacterial small subunit ribosomal RNA", at positions 524 to 776 of the family's 1533-position model. The record is from RNAcentral.
UACAGGGGGGGCAAGCGUUGUUCGGAAUUACUGGGCGUAAAGGGUUCGUAGGUGGCUUACUAAGUCAGACGUGAAAUCCCUCAGCUUAACUGGGGAACUGCGUCUGAUACUGGAAAGCUUGAGUGCAGGAGAGGAACGCGGAAUUCCAGGUGUAGCGGUGAAAUGCGUAGAUAUCUGGAGGAACUCCGGUGGCGAAGGCGGCAUACUGGUCCACUUCUGACGCUGAGGCGCGAAAGCCAGGGGAGCAAACGGG